RNAcentral lists this ribosomal RNA (402 nucleotides) under bacterium. RNAcentral describes it as "partial 16S ribosomal RNA". It matches the Rfam family "Bacterial small subunit ribosomal RNA", at positions 355 to 776 of the family's 1533-position model. The record is from RNAcentral.
UGGGGAAUUUUGCACAAUGGGGGAUACCCUGAUGCAGCGACGCCGCGUGAUUUAGAAGGCCUUCGGGUUGUAAAAAUCUUUUCUAUGGGAAGAAAAUGACAGUACCAUAGGAAUAAGGACCGGCUAAUUACGUGCCAGCAGCCGCGGUAAUACGUAAGGUCCGAGCGUUGUCCGGAAUCAUUGGGCGUAAAGGGUACGUAGGCGGGUAAGCAAGUUAGAAGUGAAAUCCUAUAGCUCAACUAUAGUAAGCUUUUAAAACUGCUCAUCUUGAGGUAUGGAAGGGAAAGUGGAAUUCCAAGUGUAGCGGUGAAAUGCGCAGAUAUUAGGAGGAAUACCGGUGGCGAAGGCGACUUUCUGGCCAUAACCUGACGCUGAGGUACGAAAGCGUGGGUAGCAAACAGG